CCCGAGGCUGGGUGGGCGUGGCUUGGACCCUCGCCCCGCCUCUCGACCUGGGCGGUGGUCGGAGGCGUGGCUGCGGGUCUAUGAGCUACCGUACCCCCUCAGAGUCGCUCAAGGCAAGAAGACCCAGAGACAGCAAGACUGAAACAAAAAGCAAAGGAGGUGCCUGCUUCCUAGAAGUGGCAGCUGUGCCUGACUAAUUGAGUUGCAGUAAACCCAGUUGUCCAGAAACGUAAGUCACGCCAACUAAAACAUGUCAUCUUGUUCCUUAACGUAUGUACAGGUCCCCCAAUGCAAAAUAUAGUCAUGACAUGACAAAGUGUCCACUGAAAACGUUGAAAGAGUAUUUGAGAUUCAAGGAUCCAGUGAAUAACUAGAUCACAUUUGAAAUUUUAUUUUAUGAAAAUAAGUAGAUAGGAAACUUGAAUGAUUACUCAUUGGAAAAUGAUUGCUUACCCCAUUUUGAAUGCCUUGCAGUGACACAUGGGGGAAUAGGCUGUUGAAAUGGCCCUUUAAGUUGUGUUUUACUCAAAAGUGACUGUGAAAUUCUUUGAAUAUUUAUGAUUUAUGCUGAGUACCAUACAACCUUCAAUAGCUUUCAGAUUUUUAUCCUUGUAAGUAAUGUUUGAAAUGUCUAUCAUAUUCUGAUUUCUGAGUGGUUAAUUAUUCAGGUAAAUGUUAAGUACCUUUCUCUAAGAGGAGAGGGAAUGGGAAAAAGCACAUUGCACAGGAAAGCAAAAUUAAUUCACCGUGGUGAUCAGUAAGAUAACCACUGAUCAGGGUCAUCGUUACAGAAAUUUCUUUUACUAUUGUUCCCCAAAAGGUGAAAUCGUUAACAACCAUGGUUGUUUUUUAGAUCCACUAGAGGGAGUAGUGUUGUACAGAUAGGUACUUUUAAAAAGAUCUGUUUGUCAUUGAGUUGGUAAAUAAAUUUGUGGUAAUAGUAUUAUCA
Bos indicus x Bos taurus (hybrid cattle) is the source of this 949-nucleotide long non-coding RNA. The record is from Ensembl. NCBI's taxonomy places the organism in Eukaryota, Metazoa, Chordata, Mammalia, Artiodactyla, Bovidae.